RNAcentral lists this ribosomal RNA (2877 nucleotides) under Burkholderia pseudomallei NCTC 13178. RNAcentral's name for it is "bacterial LSU rRNA". It matches the Rfam family "Bacterial large subunit ribosomal RNA". The record is from RNAcentral. RNAcentral also lists the same sequence under 1 other name. Lineage: Bacteria; Pseudomonadati; Pseudomonadota; Betaproteobacteria; Burkholderiales; Burkholderiaceae.
CAAGCGAACAAGUGCAUGUGGUGGAUGCCUUGGCGAUCACAGGCGAUGAAGGACGCGGUAGCCUGCGAAAAGCUACGGGGAGCUGGCAAACGAGCUUUGAUCCGUAGAUGUCCGAAUGGGGAAACCCGGCCCUUUUGGGUCAUCCUAGACUGAAUACAUAGGUCUAGUGAAGCGAACGCGGUGAACUGAAACAUCUAAGUAACCGCAGGAAAAGAAAUCAACCGAGAUUCCCAAAGUAGUGGCGAGCGAAAUGGGAAGAGCCUGUACUCUUUAUUUGUAUUGUUAGCCGAACGCUCUGGAAAGUGCGGCCAUAGCAGGUGAUAGCCCUGUAGGCGAAAACAGUAUGAAAGAACUAGGUGUACGACAAGUAGGGCGGGACACGUGAAAUCCUGUCUGAAGAUGGGGGGACCAUCCUCCAAGGCUAAAUACUCGUGAUCGACCGAUAGUGAACCAGUACCGUGAGGGAAAGGCGAAAAGAACCCCGGGAGGGGAGUGAAAUAGAUCCUGAAACCGCAUGCAUACAAACAGUCGGAGCCUCUUCGGGGGUGACGGCGUACCUUUUGUAUAAUGGGUCAGCGACUUACGUUCAGUAGCAAGCUUAACCGAAUAGGGCAGGCGUAGCGAAAGCGAGUCCGAAUAGGGCGUUCAGUUGCUGGGCGUAGACCCGAAACCAGGUGAUCUAUCCAUGGCCAGGAUGAAGGUGCGGUAACACGUACUGGAGGUCCGAACCCACUAACGUUGAAAAGUUAGGGGAUGAGCUGUGGAUAGGGGUGAAAGGCUAAACAAACCUGGAAAUAGCUGGUUCUCUCCGAAAACUAUUUAGGUAGUGCCUCGUGUCUCACCUUCGGGGGUAGAGCACUGUCAUGGUUGGGGGGUCUAUUGCAGAUUACCCCGCCAUAGCAAACUCCGAAUACCGAAGAGUGCAAUCACGGGAGACAGACAUCGGGUGCUAACGUCCGGUGUCAAGAGGGAAACAACCCAGACCGCCAGCUAAGGUCCCCAAAUAUGGCUAAGUGGGAAACGAAGUGGGAAGGCUAAAACAGUCAGGAGGUUGGCUUAGAAGCAGCCACCCUUUAAAGAAAGCGUAAUAGCUCACUGAUCGAGUCGUCCUGCGCGGAAGAUGUAACGGGGCUAAGCCAUAUACCGAAGCUGCGGAUGCGAGCUAGUCUCGCAUGGUAGGAGAGCGUUCCGUAAGCCUGCGAAGGUGCGUUGAAAAGCGUGCUGGAGGUAUCGGAAGUGCGAAUGCUGACAUGAGUAGCGAUAAAGGGGGUGAAAGGCCCCCUCGCCGUAAGCCCAAGGUUUCCUACGCAACGUUCAUCGGCGUAGGGUGAGUCGGCCCCUAAGGCGAGGCAGAAAUGCGUAGCUGAUGGGAAGCAGGUCAAUAUUCCUGCACCGUCGUUAGAUGCGAUGGGGGGACGGAUCGCGGAAGGUUGUCCGGGUGUUGGAAGUCCCGGUCGCUGCAUUGGAGAAGGCGCUUAGGCAAAUCCGGGCGCAGGAUUCAAGGGUGUGGCGCGAGCGCUCUAGGGCGCGAAGCAAUUGGAAGUGGUUCCAAGAAAAGCCUCUAAGCUUCAGUCUAACGAUGACCGUACCGCAAACCGACACAGGUGGGCGAGAUGAGUAUUCUAAGGCGCUUGAGAGAACUCGGGAGAAGGAACUCGGCAAAUUGGUACCGUAACUUCGGGAUAAGGUACGCCCUGGUAGCUUGACUGGCCUGCGCCAGAAGGGUGAAGGGGUUGCAAUAAACUGGUGGCUGCGACUGUUUAAUAAAAACACAGCACUCUGCAAACACGAAAGUGGACGUAUAGGGUGUGACGCCUGCCCGGUGCCGGAAGAUUAAAUGAUGGGGUGCAAGCUCUUGAUUGAAGUCCCGGUAAACGGCGGCCGUAACUAUAACGGUCCUAAGGUAGCGAAAUUCCUUGUCGGGUAAGUUCCGACCUGCACGAAUGGCGUAACGAUGGCCACACUGUCUCCUCCCGAGACUCAGCGAAGUUGAAGUGUUUGUGAUGAUGCAAUCUACCCGCGGCUAGACGGAAAGACCCCAUGAACCUUUACUGUAGCUUUGCAUUGGACUUUGAACCGAUCUGUGUAGGAUAGGUGGGAGGCUAUGAAACCGGAACGCUAGUUUCGGUGGAGCCGUCCUUGAAAUACCACCCUGGUUUGUUUGAGGUUCUAACCUUGGCCCGUGAUCCGGGUCGGGGACAGUGCAUGGUAGGCAGUUUGACUGGGGCGGUCUCCUCCCAAAGCGUAACGGAGGAGUACGAAGGUACGCUAGGUACGGUCGGAAAUCGUGCUGAUAGUGCAAUGGCAUAAGCGUGCUUAACUGCGAGACCGACAAGUCGAGCAGGUGCGAAAGCAGGUCAUAGUGAUCCGGUGGUUCUGUAUGGAAGGGCCAUCGCUCAACGGAUAAAAGGUACUCUGGGGAUAACAGGCUGAUACCGCCCAAGAGUUCAUAUCGACGGCGGUGUUUGGCACCUCGAUGUCGGCUCAUCUCAUCCUGGGGCUGUAGCCGGUCCCAAGGGUAUGGCUGUUCGCCAUUUAAAGAGGUACGUGAGCUGGGUUUAAAACGUCGUGAGACAGUUUGGUCCCUAUCUGCCGUGGGCGUUGGAAGUUUGAAGGGGGCUGCUCCUAGUACGAGAGGACCGGAGUGGACGAACCUCUGGUGUACCGGUUGUGACGCCAGUCGCAUCGCCGGGUAGCUAUGUUCGGAAGAGAUAACCGCUGAAAGCAUCUAAGCGGGAAACUCGCCUUAAGAUGAGACUUCCCCGGGGACUUGAUCCCCUUGAAGGGUCGUUCGAGACCAGGACGUUGAUAGGUCGGGUGUGUAAGCGCAGUAAUGCGUUCAGCUAACCGAUACUAAUUGCCCGUACGGCUUGAUCC